This 45-nucleotide transfer RNA is filed under the name Colobus angolensis (Angolan colobus). RNAcentral describes it as "partial tRNA-Glu". Lineage: Eukaryota; Metazoa; Chordata; Mammalia; Primates; Cercopithecidae. The record is from RNAcentral.
GUUUUUGUAGUUGAAAUACAACGAUGAUUUUUCAUAUCAUUGGUC